RNAcentral lists this unclassified non-coding RNA (1072 nucleotides) under Hevea brasiliensis (rubber tree). Lineage: Eukaryota; Viridiplantae; Streptophyta; Magnoliopsida; Malpighiales; Euphorbiaceae. The record is from RNAcentral.
ACCACAAUUUACCUGUUUGGGUGUUUAUCAACUAUCAGCUGUACCAAACAGAUAAACCAAACACCCUCUACAUCCACCAGGCCUGCUCUACAUCCACCAGGCCUGCCUUGAAGUUGAGGAUCUGUUGGAAUCUUGUUCAACUUCAACAUUAGUUGUGCCAAAUUAGGAUUACCACCAAUUCUUCCCCGUAAUCUAGGAUUACCAAAUUAUACUUGAGCCAGGAAGCCCAUCCCAGAUGAUUGCAGUGACGGUGAGGAAGGGUCACGAGAAGCAAGAUAACACCUGGCAGCGUAGGCUUCUGACAGAAGUGAGGGUAUCAAGGGGUUGGAACGGGGGGUUUUGUCGGGCAAUUGUUGGCGAAUCCGUUCUAAACCAGGAGUUGGGCCACACCUGAACUAACACAUUAUCUAAAAACCUUUUUCUAAAUAUGUAUAUAUGUAUCCCUGGGCGAAAUGGUCGUAAAGCAUAGAUGCACAUAGUGAUAUACAAAUUGGAGUAUACAGCAACAUUGGCUCUCCCAUCACUUAUCAUCAUAUCAUAUAGUGAAAGCAGGGACGACGCGUAUGUAUCAAUAAUGCGUAUGAUGGUUUAAACCACAUGUGAGUAAAUGCUGCAGUUACGCGUGUGGCUCCAUCUGAUUGAGAAGGAAGGUGCCUUCACUGUUCUUGUGCACCACAACCUUGAACUUCUCUUCGCUUCUUUUUGCAUGAUCAUCUACCAUCUCAGCCUUGGCAUGAAUAAUCUCUUGAAGUUCAUGAGGGAACAAUGAGUUGGACCUCUGUUGAAUGGUCUUCACAGCACGGCUGGCAGCAUCUUGCACUGCAGGAUCAUGUAGUGGCACUUCUUUCCAUCCAGUACCAUGCCCAUCUGAUUUACAAAUCCAAGUCAGUAUCCCAAUCCUAACGCAGAAGAAAGCUAAAAGCUAAAGCUUUAUGAUCUUUCUUGACACCGACAUCUGAGGGGGUAAAGGAGGGAGCAACACCACCGUCGACAUCACUGGCAUGCUUGAACUCCUGCAAUUCUUUGAAAUUAAGCCAAGGCUUUACCCAAACCUUAGCUUCAUAAAGCUUCU